AACGUAGGAGGCGAGCGUUAUCCGGAUUUACUGGGCGUAAAGCGCACGCAGGCGGCUUGGUGAGUCGGACGUGAAAGCUCCUGGCUUAACUGGGAGAGGUCGUUCGAUACUGCCGGGCUUGAGGUUGGGAGAGGGGUGUGGAAUUCCCGGUGUAGUGGUGGAAUGCGUAGAUAUCGGGAGGAACACCAGUGGCGAAAGCGGCACCCUGGCCCACACCUGACGCUGAGGUGCGAAAGCGUGGGUAGCAAACAGG
This 253-nucleotide ribosomal RNA is filed under the name uncultured bacterium. Its description in RNAcentral is "partial 16S ribosomal RNA". It matches the Rfam family "Bacterial small subunit ribosomal RNA", at positions 524 to 776 of the family's 1533-position model. The record is from RNAcentral.